RNAcentral lists this ribosomal RNA (584 nucleotides) under uncultured bacterium. RNAcentral describes it as "bacterial SSU rRNA". It matches the Rfam family "Bacterial small subunit ribosomal RNA", at positions 338 to 916 of the family's 1533-position model. The record is from RNAcentral.
CCUACGGGAGGCAGCAGUGGGGAAUAUUGGACAAUGGGCGAAAGCCUGAUCCAGCAAUUCCGCGUGUGUGAAGAAGGCCUUCGGGUUGUAAAGCACUUUAGGUUGGGAAGAAAAAACUUCUCCUAAUACGAGAAGCGUUGACGGUACCAACAGAAUAAGCACCGGCUAACUCUGUGCCAGCAGCCGCGGUAAUACAGAGGGUGCAAGCGUUAAUCGGAUUUACUGGGCGUAAAGCGUGCGUAGGUGGUUUCGUAAGUCGGAUGUGAAAGCCCCGGGCUCAACCUGGGAACUGCAUUCGAUACUGCGAGACUCGAGUUUGGUAGAGGGUGGCGGAAUUCCCGGUGUAGCGGUGAAAUGCGUAGAUAUCGGGAGGAACAUCAAUGGCGAAGGCAGCCACCUGGGCCUGAACUGACACUGAGGCACGAAAGCGUGGGUAGCAAACAGGAUUAGAUACCCUGGUAGUCCACGCCGUAAACGAUGAGAACUUGACGUUGGUUCGUUUUACGAAUCGGUGUCGUAGCUAACGCGAUAAGUUCUCCGCCUGGGGAUACGGCCGCAAGGUUGAAACUCAAAGGAAUUGACGG